Molecule: long non-coding RNA, 2924 nt
Filed under: Marmota monax (woodchuck)
Lineage: Eukaryota; Metazoa; Chordata; Mammalia; Rodentia; Sciuridae
Source: RNAcentral
GGCUGGGUUAUUUCUGUAAGAGCCAUUAUCCCCAGCUACCUCAGAAUAUAAAAUGCCUGUUCCGGGAAUGGGCCUCUCUACCCUCCCCAGCUCGCCUUUCAGAUUUUCAGCUGACUGGCACCUCUGAUCUCAAGGAGACAGAAUGAGAAUGGUGGUGGCUUACAGACCUACAGUGAUGACCUCAGAGGGGUGGCCUUGACCUUUUCUGGACGUCAUCCACCACUCAGGUCUGUGACAUUUAAUCCCAAAUGUCUCAGUUUCUGUAGAAAUUUGUUCUCUAGGGGCCUGAAAGCCAGCCAUCCCUCUUCCCUGAGCCUCAGUUUCCCUUCCUGUGGAAUGAAGACGUUAUACAAGGUGAUUCCACGUUUUCUGUGAAACCCUCUUCCAGGAAAUGACUGCCCAUCCUCUUACCUCUUGGAGUAUGGCUUCCUUUUCCCCACUUUUAUUCAUGUUUGUUUAACUCACAGUCGUUGAUUGCUUGCCAGACACUGUGCUAGGAGCUAGGUGCUAGAGAUGUGGUAUGAGCAAGACAGAUACCAGUUCCUCACCUGCUAAAGUGAGAAAUAGUGCACAGGUAAACAGAUGAAUCAACACAAUAAUUUCAGGUAGCAAUAAAUGCAAGGAAGGAAGAAAGUAAGUAGCUGUGAAAUAGACUAAAAGCUUCAGAUAGCUGUACGCAGGGUGAAGGAAACAGAGAAGUCAUCUGAAAUAGAGUACUCUUGCUUGAGUGGCUCAGGGGCUCUCUUGGGGAAGCGAAUAAUAAGUAUAAAAGUCCCAAGGUAGGAGACAGCUUGCUAAGUUUGAAGGGGGCCAUGGUGACUGAAGCACUGUAAGUAAGGAGAAGGAUAGGGAAUAUGAAGGAGAGGUGGCCAGGGCAUUCAGGUCAUGGUCAGGAAGCUGGGCUUUCAUCUGAGUGAAGUCUUCCCUCAGCUUAACCCUCAUGCCUUUCCAGUAGUCUCAAGUUCCCUUACAGCGUCCAUUCUUCUUCCUCGUUCUGACCUUAACCCAUGACCUCAUUCAGAGAACUCACCUGUACAUAUGUGUACAUCCCUUCAUACUCACGCAGAACACAGUUGCUGCCCAACUGCUGCCACUUCCUAGACUACUCUAGCAUGGGUUUCUGGUCCCAAGAGGCUCUCAGUCCCCAGUGUCCACCUCAUGGAUUGAAUACUUACCCUUAACACUCACUCUCCCUGACCCUCCAGGUUAGUCUUCCUUAAACAACAAUAACUGCAGCAGCAGUUGUGAAGACGUUGGGAGGACUGGCCCUGUACCACACACACACCCAGUCUUUAUCUCACUGAAUCCUCACAGCAAUUUGAUGAGAUUGGAACCCAAAGCACCCUAUGGUACCAGUGAGUAAACAGGUUUAGCAACGCUACAGGCCAUGCCCAUGGUCACAUAGCAGAGAUGGAGCCUGCAUUCCAACCUGGGCCAUUAGAGUCUCAAUCACUGCACUAACAACCUAAGUGUAUCAGCGUUCUGUUGCUGUUUAACAGGUCACUCCACAAAGUGGCUUCCAGUGACAACCAUUUAUUGUGUUUGUGUGCAUUUGCAGCUUGGACACGUUGGCCAGGAAGGCUCUUUUCUGUUCUACACAUCUGGAGGAGGUUGUUCCUGCAUUCGCAGUUAGGUGGCAGGUCAGUAACCUGACCUGUCCUGUGUGGCCUUGUUGACAAGUACAGCUGGGGCUGGCGGCUGGAGCGCCUUGGCUCUCCUCCAGGUGGCUUCUUCAGUCAACCAGCUUGAGCUUCCUUACACGAUGGACUCCAAAAGGAAAAGGAGAAAAGCAGCAAGGCCUCUCAAGACACAGGCUUACAAGUGCUCCAGCAUCACCUUUACUGCAUUUUAUUGAUCAAAGCCAGUCACAGGAGACUGGCCAGCUCAGAUUCAAGAAGACUAGAAAUAGAUAAUAUCUCUUGAUGAAGAAAACAUCAAAGUCAUCUCACAGAGUCACAUGUACCAGAAAGGAUGGAAUUUUUGUGGCCAUAUUUGUAAACAUUAUCUCACAUUAAGUAAUCAUAGUUAUGGAACUGGUUAUGUAAAUCAUGGUACAGCUAAACAUGGAGCUAUUCCCAGCAAGGAGAGCUCAUAUAUACAAAAAAAUAUGUAUAUAUAUUUUUGGUAUCGAGGAUCGAACUCAGGGGCACUCAACCACUGAACCACAUCCCCAGCCCCUUUUGUAUUUUAUUUAGAGACAGGGUCUUAUUAAGUUGCUUAGUGCCUUGCUUUUUGCUUAGGCUGGCUUUGAACUAGUGAUCCUCCUGCCUCAGCCUCCCGAGCCGCUGGGAUUACAGGUAUGCAUUACUGUCCCCAGCAGGCUAAUGUUUUUGAGCAGUUAAUGUGUGUCAGCCACUGUAUAAGAUACCUUCAAUGUAUUAACAUAUUUAAUCCUCACAACAGCCCUGUUGAAGUAAGUACAUUUUAUCCCCAUUUUAAAGAUUAAGCAUACCAAGUCUUAAGAGAGUUUAAAUGACUUUCUCAAAGUCAUACAGUUAGCAAGUGACAAAGCCUUUAAAAAGAGUAAGAAACCAGGUGCCCUGAUCCAUGACUGUAAUCCCAGGGACUCAGGAGACUGAGGCAGGAGGAUUUCAAGUUCAAAGCCAGGCUCAGCGACUUAGCAAGGCCUUCAGCAACUCAGCAAGACCUGUCUCUAAAUAAAAUACAAAAAAGGGCUGAGGAAGUGGCUCAGUGGUUAAGUGCCCCUGAGUUCAAUCCCCAGUACCAAAAAUAAAAAAUAGAGAUGAGGACAGCAGUAGGUCCUGCCAUGGAAUGAUGUCUCGGACACACUGUGGCAUAACCAAAAGCAAGAAACAAGACAGUAGUUUGGUUGGUUGAAACACAUUAAGAAAUGAGUAGAGGGCUGGGGCUGGGGCUCAGCGGUAGAGCUCUUGCCUAGCAUAUGCAAGGCCCUGGGAUUGAUC